Molecule: ribosomal RNA, 484 nt
Filed under: uncultured bacterium
Lineage: Bacteria
Description: partial 16S ribosomal RNA
Rfam family: Bacterial small subunit ribosomal RNA
Source: RNAcentral
AUUGAACGCUGGCGGCAGGCCUAACACAUGCAAGUCGAGCGGAUGAAGGGAGCUUGCUCCUGGAUUCAGCGGCGGACGGGUGAGUAAUGCCUAGGAAUCUGCCUGGUAGAGGGGGAUAACGUCCGGAAACGGGCGCUAAUACCGCAUAGGACCUGAGGGAGAAAGUGGGGGAUCUUAGGACAUAAAGCUAUCAGAUGAGCCUAGGUCGGAUUAGCUAGUUGGUGGGGUAAAGGCCUACCAAGGCGACGAUCCGUAACUGGUCUGAGAGGAUGAUCAGUCACACUGGAACUGAGACACGGUCCAGACUCCUACGGGAGGCAGCAGUGGGGAAUCUUGGACAAUGGGCGAAAGCCUGACCCAGCCACGCCGCGUGUGUGAAGAAGGUCUUCGGAUUGUAAAGCUCUUUUAGUUGGGAGGAAGGUCAGUAAGUUAAUACCUUCAUGUCUUGACGUUACCUAAAGAAUAAGCACCGGCUAACUUCGUG